UACGAAGGGGGCUAGCGUUGCUCGGAAUUACUGGGCGUAAAGCGCACGUAGGCGGCUUGGCAAGUGGAAGGUGAAAUCCCUCGGCUUAACCGAGGAACUGCCCUCCAAACUGCUUCGCUUGAGACCGGGAGAGGUGAGUGGAAUUCCCAGUGUAGCGGUGAAAUGCGUAGAUAUUGGGAGGAACACCAGUGGCGAAGGCGGCUCACUGGACCGGUACUGACGCUGAUGCGCGAAAGCGUGGGGAGCAAACGGG
This 253-nucleotide ribosomal RNA is filed under the name uncultured bacterium. RNAcentral's name for it is "partial 16S ribosomal RNA". It matches the Rfam family "Bacterial small subunit ribosomal RNA", at positions 524 to 776 of the family's 1533-position model. The record is from RNAcentral.